This is a long non-coding RNA of Aedes albopictus (Asian tiger mosquito), 389 nucleotides long. RefSeq lists it as uncharacterized. The record is from RefSeq and is a predicted model, not a curated record. The transcript has 3 exons. NCBI's taxonomy places the organism in Eukaryota, Metazoa, Arthropoda, Insecta, Diptera, Culicidae.
UGUAUGCAUUACGUUCAUUUAUGUUAUACACUCCAAAGGAUAUCUGAAAUUUAUUGGUUUCCAUGCAUAUCGGGGCAUUGUUAUUAGUCUAAGGACUUAUGAAAAUUUUUCAGUUGCCAACCGCCAUUGCUUCUAAAUGGAUUUUUGUCGUCCGAGGAUAUUUUGCUGGAUUUUCCUAAUUUCGAUUUUGCCAUUCCUGUCUGAACGGAUCCGGAUAACUCGAAACAGUGGAGGAACUUCGGGAACAACUUGGAACCUCGCCAGGAUUCCGAGAAUUUUCUAAUUGAGAUUUUGUCAUCAACGGAAACAUAAAAUUACUGCAUCCGGAAAACUUCGAAUGGUGGAGGAACCUCAGGAGCACUUGGGAGCCUUGCUAGGAACUGCUGGUG